GUAUCGCCGGAUGAUGACGUCAGCUAGGCUCUGGCCCUGGCCGUUGCAUCUCUCCAGGGCCGGUGCAGGGUUCUCGCUUCAGGCCUAAGCUCUGGGUGGCGAGCGGACCUCCGUGUACUCGGUCACGUUGGCGUUGGCCCCGCAGCCUUUCCGCGUGCGACCUUCCCUUGUGCUCGGUGUCACGCUGCCUUCUGGGAGAGGAAUGCCUGUCUGGCCAGAAGACAGGGGUUUCUACCUGGGAAAGACGGGCCCCUCCUUUGCCCUGCGGACAUCAGGCCCUCCAAAUCGUGUAUCGUCGCUAGAGGCUCGUGACAUCGAAAGAAAAGAACAAGAACCAUUGGCACCUUGGAUAAAAUGAAUCAGGAGGCAUCCACAGGGUAAAUUACACAAUAACAAUUUAUUACCAGAAGACUCACUAAAUUAUUUAAGAGAACUCUUCUAGGAGACAUGAAUCUAGUUUCUGCAAUACUGGAAUGGAUGACAUACAAAACAUGAUACAUUUUAUAUAUUUUUAGAUCACUAGUCUUGCUUGGUAUAAUGCAAACAUGAUUUGGCUUUGCUGUAGACAGUUACCAAUAUAGUAUCAAGUUUUUCCAUGUGAAAAUCUCACCCUAAUUGUGGCAUUUUCAAAAGUGGUGCCUGCAACCUUGAGCAGAUGUAGACUCACAUCUAUCUGGAAAUAGUAUAGAAAUUACAAAUGAAAGGAUUGUAGUUUGAAUCUCAGAAAUGGAAACUGAAAGUAAACACAAAAAGUUGUCAACUGGACCACUUUCACACUAAAGCCACCAAACUCAGGAAAACCAGAAGAAAUACUUGAGACAACAAAGUUGAAGUUUCCUGCAUUCUGAGCUGUGGUGGAUACACCCAUCUUCAGUCAACAUGACAUUGAGAAUCUGUUCUUAGAUGCUUAUCCAAGACAGAUAAAUCCAAUUCCCCAGGAGAACCAAAACAUUUCUAAACUAAGAAAAUGGGCCGGAGGUCUAACUCAGUGAUAGAAUGCUUGCCAGUAUUCAUGAAGCCCUAUC
This is a long non-coding RNA of Nannospalax galili (Upper Galilee mountains blind mole rat), 1025 nucleotides long. RefSeq lists it as uncharacterized. The transcript is spliced from 2 exons. NCBI's taxonomy places the organism in Eukaryota, Metazoa, Chordata, Mammalia, Rodentia, Spalacidae. The record is from RefSeq and is a predicted model, not a curated record.